RNAcentral lists this ribosomal RNA (577 nucleotides) under Stutzerimonas stutzeri. RNAcentral's name for it is "bacterial SSU rRNA". It matches the Rfam family "Bacterial small subunit ribosomal RNA", at positions 54 to 631 of the family's 1533-position model. The record is from RNAcentral. Lineage: Bacteria; Pseudomonadati; Pseudomonadota; Gammaproteobacteria; Pseudomonadales; Pseudomonadaceae.
CAUGCAGUCGAGCGGAUGAAGAGAGCUUGUCUUCUGAUUCAGCGGCGGACGGGUGAGUAAUGCCUAGGAAUCUGCCUGAUAGUGGGGGACAACGUUUCGAAAGGACGCUAAUACCGCAUACGUCCUACGGGAGAAAGCAGGGGACCUUCGGGCCUUGGCUAUCAGAUGAGCCUAGGUCGGAUUAGCUAGUUGGUGAGGUAACGGCUCACCAAGGCGACGAUCCGUAACUGGUCUGAGAGGAUGAUCAGUCACACUGGAACUGAGACACGGUCCAGACUCCUACGGGAGGCAGCAGUGGGGAAUAUUGGACAAUGGGCGAAAGCCUGAUCCAGCCAUGCCGCGUGUGUGAGGAAGGUCUUCGGAUUGUAAAGCACUUUAAGUUGGGAGGAAGGCCAUUAACCUAAUACGUUAGGGUUUUGACGUUACCGACAGAAUAAGCCCCGGCUAACUUCGUGCCAGCGGCGGCGGUAAUACGAAGGGUGCAAGCGUUAAUCGGAAUUACUGGGCGUAAAGCGCGCGUAGGGGGUUUGUUAAGUUGAAUGUGAAAGCCCGGCUCAACCUGGGAACUGCAUCCAAA